AUGCCCAGACCUCUCAGAAUGUUUGCCUCCCUGCCAAGCCUUUUCUGAGGACUCUGUUGGGCAGCCUGGCAAAGCUCUGAGCAGUGGAGACGUUUGCCCCACUUCACUCUCUGCAGAGUUCUGUCCCAUUCCCCCAGGCAGGAGCACAGCCGUCCCUCACACUGAAGACAACACUCUUUAGCCUGCUGGGGAGACUCCUGGGGCAAAAUUUUGUGCUUGGGUUGAUACAGUGCCAAGCAACAUGGUACUAAAGAACCAUUGACCCUGGGAAACCAGCUGCAGAGAAGGCACGUGAUAGGAUUGCGCUUCUUGGCUCCCCGUGGCUGGCUGGAGGCGGAGUGAUAAUUUACGGCCAGUGGAUUGUGCAUGGGAGGACAUACAUCAUUUCUGGGCUUGGGCAUUUCAUCGCCAGCGCAGGGCCUUCCACGAGGCUCUCUGCCUGCCAACAGUGUGGACGGUGUUCAAGAUGGCCGCUGCUCUCCAGUGAGAAGUGGAACAGACCCCGAAUGUGAACAGGGCGCAUGAGGGAAAUUCCCCUCUGUUGUCCUAAAACCCCUGUUUCUAGCUACACUGGCACUCCAAUUUCGAUUCCCCAAAUCAUGCUAAUUUUCUUUCUUCAAGGUUCUGUGCCCUCUAGUGACUUCCUUCCUCCUUCCUUUCCUUUUGUUUGUCUCUU
Myodes glareolus (Bank vole) is the source of this 676-nucleotide long non-coding RNA. RefSeq lists it as uncharacterized. The record is from RefSeq and is a predicted model, not a curated record. Lineage: Eukaryota; Metazoa; Chordata; Mammalia; Rodentia; Cricetidae.